Molecule: small nucleolar RNA, 80 nt
Organism: Nematolebias whitei (Rio pearlfish)
Lineage: Eukaryota; Metazoa; Chordata; Actinopteri; Cyprinodontiformes; Rivulidae
Source: RefSeq, a predicted model, not a curated record
GUUGUCAAUGAUGUUUUCAUAACCAUAGCUCGAGUUUCAUUGACCAUGAGAACACUACAUGCACUACCAUCUGAGACAUC